GAGUUUGAUCGUGGCUCAGAUUGAACGCUGGCGGCAGGCUUAACAUAUGCAAGUCGAGCGGGGGAGAUUGCUUCGGUAACUGACCUAGCGGCGAACGGGUGAGUAAUACUUAGGAAUCUGCCUAUUAAUGGGGGACAACAUCUCGAAAGGGAUGCUAAUACCGCAUACGCCCUACGGGGAAAGCAGGGGAUCACUUGUGACCUUGCGUUAAUAGAUGAGCCUAAGUCGGAUUAGCUAGUUGGUGGGGUAAAGGCCUACCAAGGCGACGAUCUGUAGCGGGUCUGAGAGGAUGAUCCGCCUCACUGGGACUGAGACACGGCCCAGACUCCUACGGGAGGCAGCAGUGGGGAAUAUUGGACAAUGGGGGAACCCUGAUCCAGCCAUGCCGCGUGUGUGAAGAAGGCCUUAUGGUUGUAAAGCACUUUAAGCGAGGAGGAGGCUCCUGUAGUUAAUACCUACAGAGAGUGGACGUUACUCGCAGAAUAAGCACCGGCUAACUCUGUGCCAGCCG
Molecule: ribosomal RNA, 511 nt
Filed under: uncultured microorganism
Description: bacterial SSU rRNA
Rfam family: Bacterial small subunit ribosomal RNA
Source: RNAcentral